Molecule: long non-coding RNA, 727 nt
Organism: Numida meleagris (helmeted guineafowl)
Lineage: Eukaryota; Metazoa; Chordata; Aves; Galliformes; Numididae
Exons: 4
Source: RefSeq, a predicted model, not a curated record
CGGUACAAGAUAAAUGCGAUGCUGUGAAAAUAAAACCAUGGAAGGCUGCAAACACUCAGCCUCAGCGGAGAUGACAACCAUAAAAGUAUCUUCGGUAGAGAGCAAUAUAUGACCCUGGUCACACAGGAUGUGGUGAGAAGACGACUGAACCUCACGUGGUGCGUUUCUGACCUGUCUUCACUGAGACUCAAGCUGUAACUUCUGCUGUGACGCUGCAGUUUUCAAAAGGAACUUUGAAAUUUUUGAAGCCAAGCUGCGAAAUUAUGGCCAAGAUGCUCCUUGACUAAUGGCGAAACACAUGCAAGACAAGUGGAGGAAAGGACAGGCAUGACAUUGUGAACAACUGCACAGUGGGGGAGAGGUAGAACCGCAAAUGAACCACAAAUGAACCGCAGCAGGUAGACUGCAUCCAGGCAGCACAACACCGGCAGCAAUAGGAACUUACUGAGGGAAAUGCUUAGCAAACAACGUAAGUUAUUUUUAGUUACCCAGAAAGCAAAAUUAAGUCACGCUGAAAUUACAAACAGCGAUGAGAAAAAGUAACAACGAAAGGAUAUUAAGAACGAGAGAAGAUGCACUGUGGACUCCAUAUGAUUCCAGUAACACCUUUUGUUUUACAACUUAACGCAUUAAAAGAGACAGCGCUGUUUAGGCUGAUUUACAGCAAGCCUACGGUCCAUCUGCUUUGGAGAGCCAAGACACUAAAUAUAAUUUUAAAAUUAAACAG